CUCUAAUCAGACUGCCGGUGACAAACCGGAGGAAGGUGGGGAUGACGUCAAAUCAGCAUGCCCCUUAUGACCUGGGCUACACACGUGCUACAAUGGCUAGUACAACGAGUUGCGAACCCGCGAGGGUAAGCUAAUCUCUUAAAGCUAGUCUCAGUUCGGAUUGUAGGCUGCAACUCGCCUACAUGAAGUCGGAAUCGCUAGUAAUCGCGGAUCAGCACGCCGCGGUGAAUACGUUC
RNAcentral lists this ribosomal RNA (236 nucleotides) under Loigolactobacillus bifermentans. Its description in RNAcentral is "Lactobacillus bifermentans partial 16S ribosomal RNA". It matches the Rfam family "Bacterial small subunit ribosomal RNA", at positions 1138 to 1373 of the family's 1533-position model. Lineage: Bacteria; Bacillati; Bacillota; Bacilli; Lactobacillales; Lactobacillaceae. The record is from RNAcentral.